Molecule: transfer RNA, 84 nt
Filed under: Sedimentisphaerales bacterium
Lineage: Bacteria; Pseudomonadati; Planctomycetota; Phycisphaerae; Sedimentisphaerales
Description: tRNA-Leu
Rfam family: tRNA
About the family: Transfer RNA (tRNA) molecules are approximately 80 nucleotides in length. Their secondary structure includes four short double-helical elements and three loops (D, anti-codon, and T loops). Further hydrogen bonds mediate the characteristic L-shaped molecular structure. tRNAs have two regions of fundamental functional importance: the anti-codon, which is responsible for specific mRNA codon recognition, and the 3' end, to which the tRNAs corresponding amino acid is attached (by aminoacyl-tRNA synthetases). tRNAs cope with the degeneracy of the genetic code in two manners: having more than one tRNA (with a specific anti-codon) for a particular amino acid; and 'wobble' base-pairing, i.e. permitting non-standard base-pairing at the 3rd anti-codon position.
Source: RNAcentral
GCGGAUGUGGCGGAACUGGCAGACGCGCAGGCUUCAGGAGCCUGUGGGAUUAAACCCGUGGAGGUUCGACUCCUCUCAUCCGCA